GAGCGAUAUCGUCCCGAUGACCUUACAAGCGACAUGACGGAAUCCGGUGAGAGCCCGGAACGGUCGCGCCACUGUAUGCCGGGCCCGUACGCGGGCCCCGGUGAGUCAGACCCGUCAUGCGCGUUCGAAGCUC
This 133-nucleotide non-coding RNA is filed under the name Streptomyces sp. The record is from RNAcentral. Lineage: Bacteria; Bacillati; Actinomycetota; Actinomycetes; Kitasatosporales; Streptomycetaceae.